RNAcentral lists this ribosomal RNA (441 nucleotides) under uncultured bacterium. RNAcentral describes it as "bacterial SSU rRNA". It matches the Rfam family "Bacterial small subunit ribosomal RNA", at positions 338 to 795 of the family's 1533-position model. The record is from RNAcentral.
CCUACGGGUGGCAGCAGUAAAGAAUCUUCCACAAUGGACGAAAGUCUGAUGGAGCGACACCGCGUGCAGGAUGAAGGCCUUCUGGUUGUAAACUUCUUUUCUGGGGGAAUAAUUCUUAAGGUCCCCUAGGAAUAAGCACCUGCUAAUUACGUGCCCGCAGCCUCGGUCAUACGUAAGGUGCAAACGUUACCCGGAAUCAUUGGGCGUAAAGCGUCCGCAGGCGGCCUGAUAAGUCGGAUAUUAAAUCUCAGGGCUCAACUCUGAGGCCGUAUCUGAAACUGUCUCGCUAGAGUAAUGGAGAGGUGAGUGGAAUGCUACAUGUAGGGGUAAAAUCCGUAGAUAUGUAGAGGAACACCAAAAGCGAAGGCAGCUCACUGGCCAAUUACUGACGCUCAUGGACGAAAGCGUGGGGAGCGAACAGGAUUAGAUACCCGGGUAGUC